UACGGAGGGGGCAAGCGUUGUUCGGAAUUACUGGGCGUAAAGGGCGCGUAGGCGGCCUGCUAAGUCGAACGUGAAAUCCCUGGGCUCAACCCAGGAACUGCGUCCGAUACUGGUUGGCUUGAAUCCGGGAGAGGGAUGUGGAAUUCCAGGUGUAGCGGUGAAAUGCGUAGAUAUCUGGAGGAAUACCGGUGGCGAAGGCGGCAUCCUGGACCGGCAUUGACGCUGAGGCGCGAAAGCCAGGGGAGCAAACGGG
This 253-nucleotide ribosomal RNA is filed under the name uncultured bacterium. RNAcentral's name for it is "partial 16S ribosomal RNA". It matches the Rfam family "Bacterial small subunit ribosomal RNA", at positions 524 to 776 of the family's 1533-position model. The record is from RNAcentral.